Molecule: ribosomal RNA, 305 nt
Filed under: uncultured bacterium
Lineage: Bacteria
Description: bacterial SSU rRNA
Rfam family: Bacterial small subunit ribosomal RNA
Source: RNAcentral
CCUACGGGGGGCAGCAGUGAGGAAUAUUGGUCAAUGGCCGAGAGGCUGAACCAGCCAAGUCGCGUGAGGGAUGACGGCCCUACGGGUUGUAAACCUCUUUUGUCGGGGAGCAAGACCCGCCUCGUGCAGGCGGAGCGAGAGUACCCGAAGAAAAAGCAUCGGCUAACUCCGUGCCAGCAGCCGCGGUAAUACGGAGGAUGCGAGCGUUAUCCGGAUUUAUUGGGUUUAAAGGGUGCGUAGGCGGUCCGUUAAGUCAGCGGUAAAAUUGCGGGGCUCAACCCCGUCGAGCCGUUGAAACUGGCAGA